This 497-nucleotide ribosomal RNA is filed under the name uncultured bacterium. RNAcentral's name for it is "partial 16S ribosomal RNA". It matches the Rfam family "Bacterial small subunit ribosomal RNA", at positions 28 to 507 of the family's 1533-position model. The record is from RNAcentral.
GAUGAACGCUGGCGGCGUGCCUAAUACAUGCAAGUCGAGCGAACGGACGAGAAGCUUGCUUCUCUGAUGUUAGCGGCGGACGGGUGAGUAACACGUGGAUAACCUACCUAUAAGACUGGGAUAACUUCGGGAAACCGGAGCUAAUACCGGAUAAUAUUUUGAACCGCAUGGUUCAAAAGUGAAAGACGGUCUUGCUGUCACUUAUAGAUGGAUCCGAGCUGCAUUAGCUAGUUGGUAAGGUAACGGCUUACCAAGGCAACGAUGCAUAGCCGACCUGAGAGGGUGAUCGGCCACACUGGAACUGAGACACGGUCCAGACUCCUACGGGAGGCAGCAGUAGGGAAUCUUCCGCAAUGGGCGAAAGCCUGACGGAGCAACGCCGCGUGAGUGAUGAAGGUCUUCGGAUCGUAAAACUCUGUUAUUAGGGAAGAACAUAUGUGUAAGUAACUGUGCACAUCUUGACGGUACCUAAUCAGAAAGCCACGGCUAACUACGUG